UUGGCAUUCCCAACAAGCGGAGGAAAAGAAACCAACCGGGAUUACCUCAGUAACGGCGAGUGAAGCGGUAACAGCUCAAAUUUGAAAUCUGGCUCUUCCGGAGUCCGAGUUGUAAUUUGUAGAAGAUGCUUUGGGAGGUAGGGCCGGCCUAAGUUCCUUGGAACAGGACAUCAGAGAGGGUGAGAAUCCCGUAUGUGGCCGUGGCCUACGCCCGUGUAAAGCUCUUUCGACGAGUCGAGUUGUUUGGGAAUGCAGCUCAAAAUGGGUGGUAAAUUUCAUCUAAAGCUAAAUAUUGGCCAGAGACCGAUAGCGCACAAGUAGAGUGAUCGAAAGAUGAAAAGCACUUUGGAAAGAGAGUUAAACAGUACGUGAAAUUGUUGAAAGGGAAGCGCUUGCAACCAGACUUGGGCGUCGUCGAUCAUCCGGGGUUCUCCUCGGUGCACUCGACGAGGCACAGGCCAGCAUCGGUUUGGAUGGUUGGAGAAAGGCCCUAGGAACGUAGCUCUCUUCGGGGAGUGUUAUAGCCUAGAGCGCAAUGCAGCCCAUCCGGACCGAGGACCGCGCCUUUGGCUAGGAUGCUGGCGUAAUGGUUGCAAGCGACCCGUCUUGAAAAUCGGAACCA
This 622-nucleotide ribosomal RNA is filed under the name Golovinomyces ambrosiae. Its description in RNAcentral is "partial large subunit ribosomal RNA". It matches the Rfam family "Eukaryotic large subunit ribosomal RNA", at positions 33 to 669 of the family's 3401-position model. The record is from RNAcentral. Lineage: Eukaryota; Fungi; Ascomycota; Leotiomycetes; Helotiales; Erysiphaceae.